ACGGGUGCGUAACGCGUAUGCAACCUACCCAUAACAGGGGGAUAACACUGAGAAAUUGGUACUAAUACCCCAUAACAUCUCGAGUGGCAUCACUUGGGGUUGAAAGCUUCGGUGGUUAUGGAUGGGCAUGCGUUGUAUUAGAUAGUUGGUGGGGUAACGGCCUACCAAGUCGACGAUCGGUAGCCGGACUGAGAGGUCGAACGGCCACAUUGGGACUGAGACACGGCCCAGACUCCUACGGGAGGCAGCAGUGGGGGAUAUUGCACAAUGGGGGAAACCCUGAUGCAGCGACGCCGCGUGAGGGAAGACGGUCCUCUGGAUUGUAAACCUCUGUCUUCG
This 339-nucleotide ribosomal RNA is filed under the name uncultured bacterium. RNAcentral describes it as "bacterial SSU rRNA". It matches the Rfam family "Bacterial small subunit ribosomal RNA", at positions 102 to 441 of the family's 1533-position model. The record is from RNAcentral.